Molecule: long non-coding RNA, 1163 nt
Filed under: Anas platyrhynchos platyrhynchos (common mallard)
Lineage: Eukaryota; Metazoa; Chordata; Aves; Anseriformes; Anatidae
Description: lncRNA (ENSAPLG00000026117.1)
Source: RNAcentral
UACUCAUUGAGGCUUUUGCUGGAGGCCAGUAGUUUGAGAAGGUUGAAUUUCAUUUUGUUGGUGUGAGGGAAUUUAUUUAAGCUGGUUCUUAGUCAAUUUUGUCUUGUUAACUGAUGUUUUAUCAUUUUUGCACAUGCAUCCAGAGGGGACCUACCUUGGAUCCAUUUUUAUGGUGUGGAAAAUAAAUAACAUAAAGAAUGCCUGAGGGAGUGUUCAUCCCUUUCACCUGUGGAAUCUUCUGUUAAAUAAAUAAAAUGGUGUGAGUUCUUCAGGAGUUGUUAAUUGUUCCAGAGGUCUGAUCCCUCCCUUAGGAGGGAUCUCACCUCAUUAGAUGUUUCAAGUAUUAGUUGGCUCCAAGGGUAAAUCCUUCUCUGUCUCACCAAGCUCCAAAAUAGUAGAUGGAUACCACUGAUCUGAGAAGCUUUUGAAAAAACAACCAGGCCAGAGGGAGUAAAAGUCUGAGGAACUUUUCCUGUCUGCAUUUACAUUUGUUUCUGGCUAGACAGCAAGAGAAAUGCUGGAAAAAGAAGUCCUCAAGCUGUAACCACUAUUUUCUUUCCAUGACUGACCCUUGUGUGCAUUUUCUUAAGAGCUCUGCAGGCUCCUGUCCUGCGGUGUGGGCAGGCACCCACAGCACUGCCCGCAGUAAUGGACCAGUGCUCCCAAGGCCUGGAACAGACCAACCCCCGCAGUCUGGAUUCGGUGAUCUGCUCUGGCUACCACUUGUGACAACACCCUGGAGAAGAUAUCUAGUGAGAGGGAGAGCUCAGCUCCUGGGGAAGAAAUUGCUGAUCCUUGAGAGGCAGCUAGAGCAGCAAAGAUUUUUUUGCUGAUAAACCACCGAUGGAGAAGCCCUCCCUUCCCCACUUCCCAUCUCAACCGCUGUCAUUUAAUUUGCAAAAGCUUGUCCCUGUCCCUAUCAGCAUUUAUUUAAGUACAUCUCUGCUGCGCCUGAGUGAUUUAUCUAAACAUCGGCAGCUACUGUAAGUGACGGAACAGCAAAGCAGUGGCAGAGGAAGGAGUGGAGAGGUUGAAAUGUAACUUCCCUCUUGUGAAAUCAAGCACAGGUGACUGUUCUGAGCAACUCCAGUGUAUUUACAUCAGUCACAGGCAGAAAGAAAAAAAGAAGGCAUUUCAGAGCCUGCUCAGACAUUUGAGACCAU